Glycine soja is the source of this 548-nucleotide RNA transcript. RefSeq lists it as uncharacterized. The record is from RefSeq and is a predicted model, not a curated record. NCBI's taxonomy places the organism in Eukaryota, Viridiplantae, Streptophyta, Magnoliopsida, Fabales, Fabaceae. The transcript has 3 exons.
AGCUGCAGCGCCAGCAACUACAAAGAACGAAGACGAGACAUUAGCAGCGUUAAAAAAAGAGAGAAGAAAAAUGCGAAAGUUCGAUCCAUGGCCCGUUUUCUUCAAGCGCGAGUGGAAACGCAACUGGCCCUUCCUCGUUGGAUUCGCAGUCACCGGAGCUCUAAUCACCAAACUUUCCCUUGGCCUUACCGAGGAAGAGGCUAAGAAUUCCAAAUUCGUUAAGGCGCACAAAAGGUGACUUCUGAAUCGUGACAUCUGCCUGGCUUUGCAUUUUAUGUUAGGUUUGUCAAGAUUACUUUGCUUGACUUGAUUUUAUGGAUUGUAAUAACAGAAGAGAGAUGCUCUAGAUAGUCUCUCCAAGUCUGUAUCCCAUGUUCUUAUUUUCAGUUUUGGAGGUUGUUUACCUAAAUCUGGUUGAGAGAAUCCACAAUAAGUUAGUAAUUUCUGAUUUAAAAAGUUAUUUCCUUCAUUGUUAAUACUUAUCCUUGAGUUUCUCGUGUUAUGCAUCCAGCAUAAUCUUGAGGAAAAUCGAUGUCUUUAAUGGUGUA